UCGAAGUACUAGCGUGCACCUCCGUCUAGCAUCUCUUUUGUCAGCUGAUCUCGAGACGGAUAGGAUAGGUGAGUCGUGAGUGCGUGCCGCUCUGUAUUCCAGAAAUCAUGUCGUCAAAUUAAUUAAUUACUCGUGCCACGUGUUAUUAAAUCUAAUGUUCCUCGCGUGUUAAGUCAAAAUAAUGCGGUAACGGGAUACGUUUAUUUCAGCAGCGCAAUACCGGCAAUCUAAUAGGAUACACAGACAAAGUAUUAACGAGAUGCAUCCGAGCCAUUCCAUGCUAUAUGCUUUCCGCUUGUCAGUGACUCAGGUGGCGGGCCCAGUAUUAUAUAAGAAUAAAAACUUUGAUCGCGGCGCAGCGACAUCCGCAAUCUUCCUCGCGACCAUUGGACUGUCGAUGAGCAUGUUCUCCUUAAAGCAGAUGCAGUCGACGCACCAACGCCGUUUGCGAAGACUCUGUUAAGAAUUGCGAUCAAAAUCAUAAUUCGCCGAUGAUAAAAAUCGACGGUCAAUUGAAAAUAAAAUUCAUCAAUUACUCACGAAAUAUAUGGCCCUCUUUAUCACAACCAAUGUUGCUUUAAAAGUAGUAACGCGAUGUACGUCGAAUCAAACCUUCUACAUAUAGUUUGCUCGUAUGAGAUCCUAGAUUUUUGAUGGAUGUAUGUAUAUUAGGCAAACUGCAGUUCCGUUGAAAUUGCAUGGCACGCUCUUCUCUUAGAACGUGAAUGACAGACUCUCACAAGGGUCGAAUCUAAAAAGAUCAUUAUGUCCUUGAUUCGCAGACGCGCGUACAAGACUGCGCGCUUUAAUUACAUUGAAUUCAGCACUUGGUACAGGAACUUGGUAAACGCGACCGGAAUUUUAUCAGAAAGUUCGUCGCAAACUCGAACGAGAAGCAAAACUUAUACGCUACCUGAUGCAUCAAGUGCAAUAUUUUUUUGGUGGGUACUUUGUCAUGUCAGGCAACAAACGGUCUUCUAGUCUUGCAAGCGAAUAAUGUUGCUUUUACGAAACGACUUAGCUUUGCAAAAGAUGAAUUUUUUAUGAAUCCAAGAGAAGAACUUUCGUAGAUAACCAAUAUAUCAGAAAAUUGCGUUACUUUUCAUCACGAUUUAUUCUAGUAUCUUUAUUUUCAGUCAUUCAUUUUCGAAAAUAGUUCCUUUCGAUGCAUGAUGACGCAUUUGCUGAUGCGAUGGUACUUCAUCAUCUUGUGGUAUAUUGUAUACAAUCUUUCCUUGAUAUCGAAUAGAAUCGUUCUGACGAGAAGAAAUAUUAUGUCGAAAAAUGUAACAUUAUUAUAACGUGAUUUCGUCAACGUUGAUCGCCAAACGUGGAUAAUUGAUUAAAACUAUAUUAUUUUACUAAGAUUAUAUAAAUUUUAUUUUUCCGCUUAUAAGAUUGCUUAUCUACAACUGUUCAUUAUAUUUAAAAAAUUUUAGAGCUCAUCCCUAUUAAUCGAAAGUUCUUCUCUGUGAGACAGCAACCAAGCUCGAUCCAAAGAGAACAGAUAUCUGUUCGUACUAGCUUGUAUUAACUGAAGGUUUAACAUUAAAUAGAAUCGAGUUACAACUUAACAUACAAUUCAUCGAUCGAACAUUGUUGAUAAUAUUUAUCCUCUUUUCAUCACUGUAAAAUUGCGCUGAAAUAUUACUGUCGAAUUUGAAAUAAAAUAUACGAAUUACUCACGUAUUAUUGUGUUCACACACAAUUGUCUGAUAAGUCAUUUAAAAUUUCCGUUUCUUUUUCUGUCAUUUCUGCAUGUUCACUGAAUUAAAAAAAUUCUAAUAAAACCUUAUUAAUCUUGAUUGAUAUUAUUUUUGAUUUUAUGACAAACUUAUCGCGCUAUUGCUACAGAAUUAUAUAUAUAUUGUUUUGUAUAAAUUUAUAUUUGUAUAAUCGUAUUAUGUGCCAUCUCUCAGAGCAUUUGUAAGAUUAAUCAUUGUUUUUAAUAAAAUAUUGAUCAAAUUAGCCAGAACUUAUCUUUAAAAAUGCAAGAUUUUUAAGAUGCUUAAACUUAGCAGAGAAAAGGAGAAAUAUAAAAUAUUAUAUAACAGAAAUGCAAAAUCGUAUGUAACACUGUAUAACGAGAAUAUUAUUAAUAAAAUGUAAAUAAUAUUAUUAAAAAA
Molecule: RNA transcript, 2126 nt
Organism: Formica exsecta
Lineage: Eukaryota; Metazoa; Arthropoda; Insecta; Hymenoptera; Formicidae
Exons: 3
Source: RefSeq, a predicted model, not a curated record